AAGUCGUAACAAGGUUUCCGUAGGUGAACCUGCGGAAGGAUCAUUAAAAAUCUAACAACCACAAUAAGGCUGAGGGGAAUUGGCCGAGGGUGGCGAGGGCAUUUGGCAGAGGCAAAGGGAGACGGUUUUUGGGAGGACACUUUGGGCGACGACACCUGAAACUUGCUAAAAAUUUGCGAAUCGAGGACGCAAAAUUAUGGUAAAGCCAAGGGCAUUGGGCGACCGCAAGAGUUUUGGAUUUCAUCCCUCUCUCUGCAAAACACAUGUUGGUUGAGCAUUAAUCACCAGUACAACUUUUAACAAUGGAUCUCUAGGCUCUU
RNAcentral lists this unclassified non-coding RNA (320 nucleotides) under fungal sp. Its description in RNAcentral is "partial internal transcribed spacer region". The stretch from base 1 to 46 matches the Rfam family "Eukaryotic small subunit ribosomal RNA", at positions 1786 to 1831 of the family's 1831-position model. The record is from RNAcentral. Lineage: Eukaryota; Fungi.